This 116-nucleotide small RNA is filed under the name Propithecus coquereli (Coquerel's sifaka). RNAcentral describes it as "Y RNA (ENSPCOG00000006033.1)". The record is from RNAcentral. Lineage: Eukaryota; Metazoa; Chordata; Mammalia; Primates; Indriidae.
GGUGAAAUAAAGUCAGUGCAAGAUAAACAAAGACAGAGACUUUGUAAUUCAUCACAACCAGUUACAGAUUCCUUUGUUCCUUCUCCACUCCCACUGCUUCACUUGACCAGCCUUUA